RNAcentral lists this transfer RNA (69 nucleotides) under Rattus norvegicus (Norway rat). It matches the Rfam family "tRNA". Rfam says of the family: Transfer RNA (tRNA) molecules are approximately 80 nucleotides in length. The record is from Rfam by way of RNAcentral. Lineage: Eukaryota; Metazoa; Chordata; Mammalia; Rodentia; Muridae.
AGGGGUUUAGCUCAGUGGUAGAGCGCUUGCCUAGCAAGCACAAGGCUCUGGGUUCGGUCCCCAGCUCUG